This 301-nucleotide ribosomal RNA is filed under the name uncultured bacterium. RNAcentral describes it as "partial 16S ribosomal RNA". It matches the Rfam family "Bacterial small subunit ribosomal RNA", at positions 509 to 807 of the family's 1533-position model. The record is from RNAcentral.
CAGCCGCCACGGUAAUACGUAGGGUGCAAGCGUUAAUCGGAAUUACUGGGCGUAAAGCGUGCGCAGGCGGUUAUAUAAGACAGAUGUGAAAUCCCCGGGCUCAACCUGGGAACUGCAUUUGUGACUGUAUAGCUAAAGUACGGCAGAGGGGGAUGGAAUUCCGCGUGUAGCAGUGAAAUGCGUAGAUAUGCGGAGGAACACCGAUGGCGAAGGCAAUCCCCUGGGCCUGUACUGACGCUCAUGCACGAAAGCGUGGGGAGCAAACAGGAUUAGAUACCCCCGUAGUCCCUGUCUCUUAUAC